CAAACCGUGCAUAUUGCCC
This 19-nucleotide unclassified non-coding RNA is filed under the name Chlamydomonas reinhardtii. Its description in RNAcentral is "small RNA Cre_0832". The record is from RNAcentral. Lineage: Eukaryota; Viridiplantae; Chlorophyta; Chlorophyceae; Chlamydomonadales; Chlamydomonadaceae.